This 14543-nucleotide long non-coding RNA is filed under the name Eucalyptus grandis. Its description in RNAcentral is "long non-coding RNA (EGRA_LNC005776)". Lineage: Eukaryota; Viridiplantae; Streptophyta; Magnoliopsida; Myrtales; Myrtaceae. The record is from RNAcentral.
CUCACCCUCACCGGCGCCGGCGAGCACCGCCUCAACCCCAACCUCCUCUCCUCCCUCCGGUCUGCCCUCUCCCGCCUCCAAGCCGACCCCUCCGCCUCCUCCUCCGCCCUCAUCACCACCGCCCACGGCAAGUUCUUCUCCAACGGCUACGACCUCGACUGGGCCCAGUCCUCCGAGCCCCGCCUCCAGCUCAUGUCAUCCGCCCUCCGCUCCCUCGUCCGCGACCUCAUCUGCCUCCCCAUGCCGACCAUCGCCGCCGUCACCGGCCACGCCUCCGCCGCCGGCACGACUACGUAGUCAUGCGGCGCGACCGGGGCCUCCUCUACAUGAGCGAGAGGGACAUCGGGCUGGUGAUAUCCAACUGGUUCAUGGCCUUGAUGAGGUCCAAGAUCGGCGACCCGAGGGCCCGGCGCGAGGCGAAACUGACUGCCGAGGACGGGGUGAGAAUGGGGAUUGUUGAGUCGGCCCAUGACGGCGCGGAGGCGACGGUGGUGGCAGCGGCCGAGCUGGGGGAGGCGUUGGUCGCGAGGAAGUGGGACGGACACGUGUACGCUGGGAAUCGGAGGGUGGUGCUGCGGGAGGUGCUGGAGGCCAUCGGAUCGAUGAGACGGUCAAGAAAGUGGCGGAGGAUAAGGCCUUGUCGAAAUUGUAGCUUGGCUUUCCCUUGAGGCCCGUUUGGAGUGAUCUUGUGAAAUCGUUCUGCCCGUUGGGCCCAUUAUCCGGUCCCACGAAAUAGUUCCCGAAAGUUGGUAUAAUAUACAAUAUUAUCUCUGGAUUUUUAACUUGUGCAACACGAUCCAUGAACUUGGGCCCAGAUAAAAUUUCUUCCAUAAACUUUUUUUUUUUUUUUUUGUAUUGAAAGGGGUGAAGCCCAGAAGUUACAACAAAACUCUCCUAACGAAGCUGGAUCCAACUUGAUCACCUAUCAAUAAAGGAUUCAAAUCUUUUGGUGGCCUCUCCAAGAUUAAGGUGUCAUUCACAUCACACGAGUAAAUGGCCCAAUUUGCUAACCAAUUAGCACAUGAGUUUCCUUCCCUAAAGUUAUGUAGAAUAUGAAUAUGCUGGAAAUAGAUUAAAAGUUUUCGAAUAUGAGAAAUAAGCAUGUCGCCAAAGUUGAGAGUGUGAGUUGAUUUCUGGAGUAGUGAAAUAGCGGCUUGUGAGUCCGCCUCCACGAUAAGUUUGGGGAUACCCAAAGAAAUUGCCAAUUUUCAAUUUGGUCAUUGAAAUAUUGAAAAAUGUUCAAUAUAGUCCUUCUAUUUGCUCAAACGACAACUUAGAUGAUAAUUGAUAACGUAAAUUAUUAUAUACUGAGUUGGGUUUCUAAAAAUAACAAGUCAACAUUGUCUAUCCUUUUAUCCGUCUAUUUUAUCAAAUGAAAGAAACAAAUUAGGGAUUUUUUUCUUUUCUGAUUAAAGAUGAAUACACGUGUAACUUUUAUUUCUAUCCAUAAAUCAAACUUAACAAUUUGGAAGCCAAACAGUAUGUUCCGUUAAUUUGAAUUAAUGAAACAAUGAUAUAAAAUAUCUUAAUGUAGUUUAAGGACUUUAUGAAACAUUUAUCAAUGGUUCAGAGAUUAUGUUGAAUAAAUUAAAAUUUUAGGGAUAGUUUAGGGAUGAUAUUAUGUGUUGAACCAAAGUUCAGAAAUUAUUUGCAUCAUUUUCCUUUGUAAAUGUAUGAGAUGUCUAAAUAUUGCAGUAUAAUAAGGUGGCAAAACAGGAACUAUAAUCAAAUUGUGUGUGCCACUUUUUUUUUUGUGUCCGAUCUUUUCUUACAUCUAUUUUACAAGCCAUUUUGUAUGCUAUAUGCUAUGCGCAGAUUGUGAAAUCCUACUCCUUCACUCAUACAUCCCCACCCUAGCUUUUCGAGAAGUCCCACCUCCCCCUUCCCAAGUAGAAAGGGUUGCCACUAAGGCAACCUGUGGCUUGAUCAUGUGCGGCACUUGAAAAGUGAAUAAUUAACAAUUUUCCUUUUUGCAAUUAUAUGCUAAUACCAAUAUAUUUUGUCAUGUACUUAUAAACGAGAUCCCUUCUAUGUGGUUUGUUCAUAAUUUGUUAAUGAGAAAUGUUCAAAAGCUACCAUGGCAUGGAUGUUGCAAUUUUCUGGGAAAACUUAUCAAAAUAGUUCUAAAUCUAUUGCACUUAUAUUAAUUUAGUUUUAAAUCUUUUAAUUUGGUCAAUUUAUUCUUAACUAUUUUGACAAUUUACCAAUGUAGCACAUCUGAUCAAUUUUGAGUGAAAAUCGAUGACGUAGACACCAAUCGUUUUACAUGGCAUCGUCAGCAUUAACGUGGACAAUUUUUUGCAUUUUCUUUAAUUUUUUGUUUUUAAAAUUUUAAUUUAUUUAUUUAUUUCCUUUAUUGUUGCCGGUGAGGGCUCCCCUUGCUUGUGGCAGUGAAGGUGGCCCUUGCCCAACCCCCUCUAUAACGACCUAAAUUUCCACAAAAUUAAAUAUUGAAUGAGUAUAUAAAUUAACUUCACUUCAAUUCUUCGAUAAAUAAUGAACUUAUCCCCAAUUGUAUAAGUAAUUUAACCGUAGCUAACAUACUUCAAAACCUUAUGUACAGAAACCCAUCUUCACUUUUGCUACACAUUUUGAUUCAAUCCUUACUAGUGAUCUUCGGAAGCGUUAACCUAAUGCUUAUGAAUUCCUAACUCGACAAAUCUGAGAAAUAUAUUAGGGUGAGCCUAAGCUUUGUAAAUGAACUCUCUAGGUUUGAGGUAGAAGAUCAACUUACCACUUAACUUGGUAUCAAUAAACAACAUGAGCUCAAGCUAUACAAAAUAACAAUGUAUGACAAAUGUAUAAGCAAAUGCUCUAUCUUCACUAUCAUGAUAUGCUAGUGGAAACCAUUAACAACAUUGCAAGUUCAUUCACUCAAAAGCAAGCAUAUGACAUAUUAUUUAAUGAUGAACUAGUAUCACCUAGUAGCUCACUACUAUACACAAGAAUGUACAUAGGCAAGAUUAUACUUAUCAUGGAGCUCACAAACACAUACUAUACUUGUCAGUAGCCAGAACCAUCACAUCUCGACUAAAGAGGCAUUGUCACUCCAACUCAUGAGGGAUGGAAUCAUACAUGCCUUUUGCCAUGCCUCAACCCAUUCAUCACAAGUGUCUUCUACAUCAGCGAUGAUAAAUACGUCACUAUAUAUCCACAUGAUGAUAGUCAACAUACCAUGACUACAAGAGCCAUGUCAUGCCUUGACUAUGUAAGCCAAGUCAUAUCAUGAACACAAAGCCCAUGUCAUACCAUGACUAUAUAGACAUGUUAUAAUAGAAUUUCAUAUCAUCUCAAUCUUAUAGAGAACUGUAUCAUACACUAGAAGAUCCUACUAACUCUAAAGUCUCGUCCACAUACUUAUAAAAGAGAAUUCGCUCUAUAGAGAAUGGCCUACGGCAAAGGUCUUAAUCAUAUGACAUCAUUCACAUACAUUUCAUAGCAACAUAACAAUUGCCAUGUACAUCUCAAUAAUUUGCAAUUUGUCAUGCAGUUAACGAUAGACAAUUAAUAACAUGCACUUCCACACAUAUAACCUCAUUCUUUCCAUGCCAAGCCAUCAUUAUUUAAUUGAAAGCCAUAGAUAAGUGAUCGGUGACUUUUUUUUUUUUUUUGACACAAGUGAUCAGUGACUUAGGAAUGGAUGCUCAUUAUCGACCACAUAAACGUUGACAAUUCAAAGAAUUGACCACUUCAAACAACAACUCAAAGAAUUGGUUUAUGCUAAAUCCAAAGUUGUUUAAUUAUAUGUUACCUUGCGUGAUGCAAAUGGACUAGGUCAAAAAUUGUUUAUCCAAAUCAUGUCAUCAUAGAGAAAAUAUUAAGUGGUCCCAAACCACCAGUCAACGUGCUUCUUGACCAAUCAGGAAGCUCCACAUGGCUCCACGUCAGCAAGUGGUCCUCACCAUAGAAAAUAUGAAUUUCCUCUUUCUUAUCUAAAAAUUUUCUCCUAAUAAUAGGCCUACACACAUUAAUCGCUGCCCUAGGCAUGCUGCGUAGAGUCAUUUCCCUUUCUCUCUCCUCCUUUUUCUCCUUCUGAAGGCAGAACACCAAUGCUUCCUCUCUUCCUUCUUCUCGUGAAUUCAAAAUCUCAGGUUCGCUCGUCUUCACUCUUUGCUCUAGUGCCCUCUCAUUGGGCGUCACUUCUUCGCUCUCUGCUGCAGCGCUCGUGCUCAUUGGGUCUCACUCUACAAAAAUCCAAUGAGACUCCGUUGUCCUAUCAAUCCCCAUAUAACCAAAAAAAAAAAAAAUCCAACAGCAAACUGCAAUUGUUUUUUACGCAGGGAAAGAGGGGGAAAGAGCUCGACUUGGUGGAGUUCAUAUUCACGCUUGCAGUAGGAAACAUCGCAUAGCUCAUGUUGAUGGUGUCAUGUCCCCGCCAAGUCGUCGUUGAGGAUGCCUCCAUGGUGCUCACACUCAUCGCAGCCAAGCACUAGACGAGCAGGCGGGUCGUCCACGUCUUGCUAGGGCCAGACGAGUCAAGAGCUUCUAGGAAUGUGCUAAGAUCUCACGCUUGAUGCGUCGGGUUCAUGGUGGGGAGGCCGAGGACCCUUUUGUCGAACGAGCUUAAGGGCACGUCGAGUUUGUGCUCCUGGAUUGCGGAGGCAAUGACCCGCGCGGGGCGUUCGAGGCAACACGGGAAGGUGGCAAGGGGAUCGUUGUGGGGUAUAAUACCCUUCACGAGGGCACGUUGUGGAGUGAACUGAGAGCUCACUCUUUGCCAAUAUGGGAGGGUGUUAUGGCGACUAGGAUUGCGAAAGUUGCUAAAGCCCACGGCAGGAUUGGCAGUGGCGGAAGGUGUAGGAAGAAGAGCAGAUGGGUAGUUACAGUGGACGACUACACCGGCCAAGAGCGUGUUUUAAGGAUCGUCUCAUCACAGAGGAAACAUAUUGAAGCUUAAGGACAAAAUUCAUUUGGUUUUGGGAUCUACCAGAGAAACAGAGAGGACUAAGACUUUAUGCUGGAUCUAGAUCUCGUGAUCUACACUAACUCCUAAAAUCUUGUAAAUGUAAAUAGCGAUCGAUUGAAUUAUGUAAUGAUAAUCUACAUUUUUUUUUUGACUUUUUCAAUAUGCAAGUUGUGUUUUAUGCAGAGUUUGCCUCCUUUAGGCCCUUGAAACUAUUGAGAACACAUGAAUUUCUGCACGAUCAAGAUCAGGGACUUAAAACACUUAGCUUUCGCUAAACCAAAUCGCGAUUCACCAAACACGUGAUCGAAAGGAGUUUCGGCAAAUCUUGUGGGCUGAGGUUGAUCUAGAGAGUGUCUUACAUUCUUUCUAGGACUUUCAAGUCUUGUCUGAUUGCUUAACAGAUUUUUUUUUGGUCGGGAUUGAAAUUGCAGGAAAAUCGCGUCCUUGUUUUGCCAAUUCAAUUGGCUUUUGCCUUUGCUCAUAGCGCUCCACAUUCUGGUUUCGCAUUUGUGGCUCCUUUUUUUUACCAAUUCCUAAUACUGAUUAAAAGUUGCUAUUAAAAGUUCAAUUUUUUUACACAAAAACAAAAAUCCGAUUUCACUUUGGUUGACAAUUCCCUCCUUGCCAAAAAAAAAUCAAGCAAAAUUCUCGUAGGAUUUUAUACUCCUUAAAUCAAGAGAUUGUGGAAUGAAGACUUCAACUUAAAUCAAGAGAUUGUGGAAUGAAGACUUCAACAUAGGUACAGGAAAUGGGAGAUUGGUGCAAACAAAACUCAAUUUCGUCAUUGAUGAACUAAAUCCAGCAUAAGAUACAAAAAAAAAAAAAAAAGACACUAUUCUCGUUUGAAUUGAAUUGUGAUAGGAAAAUAUUAGCCCUUAAAAUGAACUUAAUUGCAAGAAGAACAACCGAUAAAAACAUCAAAAUCACUACGUGUUAUCCAACUGGCACAAAACUUGGCAAGACAUAAGUAUUCUCGAUGAAAUUGACAAAGAAAAUGGAUGGCUAUGACUAAAAAAUGAAUCCUCACAAUCUAUGAAAGAAUUUGGAGAACUAGAUUGCUCGCCAUUCACUAUGGAGGGAAAGAAUGAACUAUUUUUGUUUUCUAUUUUUAACUCCAAGGCCCAAAAUAGCAUGGAGGUGGCUUCAAAGUACUAUGACAACUUUCUCUGGAGAUACGAGAGAAGCAGCAUCAACUCUGAAACCACACCACCACAUUAAAAUCAAUUAAGGCAACGUUAAAUGUAGAUGGAGAGUUCACUAUUUCUCAGCCUCCCCAUCAUGAACUCGAUGCACCCUCGAUGCACCCCUAAGCUCAUUCGACAAAAGGGUCCUUAGCCUCCCCACUACGAACUCGACGUGUCAAGCGUGGGCUCGUAGUGCGUCCCUAGAGGCUCUUGACUCAUCUAGCCCUAGCGAGACGUGGACGGGCCGCCGCUCACUUGCCCGUCCAGUGCACGGCUGUGACGAGCACAAGCACCAUGGAGGCGUCCUUAGCAGCGGCGAUGGCGGCCUGGUGAGGACACGAUACCAUCACCAUGAGCUGCAUACUGUUUCAUGUCACGAGCAUGGAUAUGAACUCCACCGAGUCAAGCUCAAUCCCUCUCUUUCCCCACAUAAAAAACGAUCAUGGCUUGUUGUUGGCCUUUUUUUUUUUACUCCUUUCCUAAUGGGGACUAAGAGGACAAUGGAGUCUCAUUAGAUUUUUGUAGAGUGAGACCCAAACAAACACGAGCGUCAGAGCAGAGAGUGAAGAAGUGACACCUAACAAGAGAGCGCCGGAGUAGAAAGCAGAAAGCGAAGACAAGGGAACCUAAAAUUUUGAAUCCACGAGAGAAGGAAGGGAGGAAGCAUCAAUCUUCCACCUUUAGAAGGAGAAAAAGGAGAAGAGAGAGAGAGGGAAAUGACCUCCGCAGGAUGGUUAUGGCAGCAAUUAAUAUGUGCAGACUUAUUAUUAGGGGAAAAUUUUAAAUAAGAAAGAGACAAUUCAUUUUUUUUAUGGUGGGGACCACUCGCGGACGUGGAGCCACAUAGAGCUUCCUAAUUGGUCGGGAACGGUCGGACCUAAUAUUUUCUCUAUUUUCAUAUUCUCUUUGGUUUCCACGCCAAAAUCAAUUUUUUAUUUUAAUUAUAACAAUAAUUGAUUCUCGUUAGUCUCCUAUUUCAGUUGACUUCACAGUCGACUUCCCUCUGCACAUUGCUUAAAACAGUAAAACCCCAUUCUCUCUCUCUCUCUACCCCCUGCGCAGGAGAAUCAAUCUGACCAUUCUCAUGGCGGACAACAAGCACGGCGAGGAGCAGCUCUGCACCCUCGAGAAGCGCGGCAACCUCUUCAUCCUCACCCUCACCGGCGCCGGCGAGCACCGUCUCAACCCCAACCUUCUCUCCUCCCUCCGGUCCGCCCUCUCCCGCCUCAAAUCCGACCCCUCCGCCUCCUCCUCCGCCCUCAUCACCACCGCCCACGGCAAGUUCUUCUCCAACGGCUACGACCUCGACUGGGCCCAGUCCUCCGAGCCCCGCCUCCAGCUCAUGUCCUCCGCCCUCCGCUCCCUCGUCCGCGACCUCAUCUGCCUCCCCAUGCCGACCAUCGCCGCCGUCACCGGCCACGCCUCCGCCGCCGGCAUGAUGCUGGCCCUCAGCCACGACUACGUGGUCAUGCGGCGCGACCGGGGCUUCCUCUACAUGAGCGAGAUGGACAUCGGGCUGGUGAUAUCCAACUGGUUCAUGGCCUUGAUGAGGUCCAAGAUCGGCGACCCGAGGGCCCGGCGCGAGGCGCUGAUGCGGGCGGCGAAACUGACUGCCGAGGACGGGGUGAGAAUGGGGAUUGUUGAGUCGGCCCAUGACGGCGCGGAGGCGACGGUGGCGGCGGCGGCCGAGCUGGGGGAGGCGUUAGUCACGAGGAAGUGGGACGGACACGUGUACGCUGGGAAUCGGAGGGUGGUGCUGCGGGAGGUGCUGGAGGCCCUCGGAUCCGAUGAGACGGUCGAGAAAGUGGCGGAGGAUAAGGCCUGGUCGAAAUUGUAGUUGGGCUUUCUCUUGAGGCCAGUUUGGAGUGAUCUUGUGAAAUCGUUCGGCCCGUUGUGUCUUUAGAUGUACAAGAUGUUGUCCUGUGGGACCCUUGGUAUUAUACGUAUUAGAGUAUAAUAAGGUGGCCGACAAAAAGAUGAGAUCGUCCUGUGGGGCACUUGCAACAUGAGAACUUUACAAUUAUCAAUUACUGCAAUUAUAUGGUAAUAUCGGUAUUUUUUGUGUUGUACUUAUACAUGUCUUUUAUAUCAUAUAGCCUUACAUGUUCAAAUCUAGAAUUCCGUCUGUCAUGAAAUUGGCCAAACCCCCAACUUUUAAGGUCCGUUUAUUUGGUGAAAAAUUAUUAAUUUUCUGAAAAAUAUUUUUGAAAAGCCAUUUUUUUUAAAAAGUAACUUUAUUUUAUGGUGAUUAACUGAAACUUGAAAGGGACAUAAAAAGUUUUUAUAUUGUUUAGUAACGAAAAUCAGGGAAAAUUAUAAAAAAAAAAAAUCAUACUCUUUUUGCUUCUUCCUAGGCUAGACGUUGCCACGGUGAUAAUUGGCAAUGGCCACAAAUAGGCAAGCUUAAGCCUCAUUAGCCUCAAGUGAGCUUUACUUACUGGAUUUGGCAAGACUUGAACUCAUUAAACGUCACUUUGUUUCUGUAUAUAAAUAUUUUUGUAAGAGCAAACGUUUCUUUAAUGAAUGACCCAAGUCUGAGCGAAAAGAAAAAGUACAAAAAAAGUUAUAAAUAUAUAGUAUUUGUACAAAUUUAGUUUUAAAUCUUUCAAUUGAACUAAUUUAGUCAUAAAUAUUUUUAUAUUGAUACCAAUUUAAUACUUCUGGCCAAUUUUGGCCUACCAGUUAUGAUGUGGACGCCGUUCGGCCAACAAACAUUGGCGUGGUAAUUUUAAAUAAUUUUUUUUUUCAAAUUUUUUUAUUAAAUUUUUCCUUGCUACCCCUCCCCCCUUAUCCUUUUCGUCUUCUUCCUCUUGGGCUUUUUCCCCUACAGUGGUUAGUGAACCUCCGGCAACAAGCAUUGCGGCCCUUGCCCAACGUUAAUGAGGGCUUCGCAAUCCUCGCCUAACCUCACCUAGGGUUGCAGGCGAGGUGACUUUGCCUAGAUUUGGUCCUUGCCCAUUGUUCGCCGAGGGCUUUGCAUUCCCUUAGUGAAUGGCGCCAUGGCCUUGCCAGCUACGAGUGAAGCCACCUUCGCCUACGGCUAGGCCAUGGCAAGGUUGGCCUCACCUAGUGGUCGACAAGCUGCCAGAGGUUCGCCGGCCACUGCAAGAGAAGAAGGCUAAGAGGAAGGAGAGGAAAAAGGAAAAAAAUUAAUAAAAAAUUCGAAUAAAAAAUAUUUAAGAAUUGUCAUGUUAGCAUUCAUCAGCCUACUAGAAUCUAUGUUGAUGCUAGCCGAUCAAAAUUAACCUAAAGGAUUGAAUUGAUACUAGUGUGGAAAGAUUUAGAAUUAAAUUGGUGCAGUUAAAAAGUUUAUGAUUAAAUUAGUACUAAUAUUAUACAUUUAUAACUUUUUAAGUACUUUUCCCCAAGUUUGAGUGCCAACAUCCUGUACACAGCAUUUGUGGGCCUAGGCUCAAGUGUUGGGACCAAAGCUUGAGUGCCAACAAUCCAAGCAUGGCAUUUAUGGACCCAAGCUCAAGUGCUGGAGCAAUGGGUACGAGCACCUAAAUGCUCAUACCAAGGAACCAAUAUUGGAGUUUUUGUAUCUAAGUGUAGAGUUUCAGGUCUAACUAUCGAUAUCUAUUAAUAUUUUGGAAAACAUUUUGCGAUUAUUUCAUAAAAAGGAAUUUAUAUUCCCCAAUUUAAGUUUUGAUAAGAAAAUGUCAAUAAUAUUUUAUUUUGAUUCAUUUUCUUAAGCGAAUCAAACAGUUAAAAUGUUUUCUCGAAAAAUAUUUUUCACAAAACAAACGAAUGGUAAAGUAUAUUUUCAAUUAUAAUUAUUUUUAUUUUUUUAUGGGCUUUAUUGCUGUUAGCCAGUUUAGUAUUUAAUUUCUUUAAAAAAAAAAAAACCCCCAUAAAAACCCUAUCAGCGCAUUUCCUGCAAAACCCUGCGAAAACCGUAAGCACCCGGAGUUUCAGCGCGCUCCACCGGCGUCUCCCUCCAUUUCACUCGCAGCUCCUCCUCCUCCUCCUCCUCCUCCUUCUUCAUCGGGUCGUGGCUCGACGUGAAGAACCUGAAAUUGUAAUCGGAGGUCACUCUGCAUCUCGACCUCCAGUCCGAGGACAAAGCGAUCUCGUUCUCCGCCAUCAACAUCGAGCGCGACCAACUGUUCUUCACUUCCUCGGGGAACCCGCGUCUACACCACUCACCUCUCUUCUUUCCAGGUAAGGUUGUGAGGGCUUUCUGUAGCUACGCGGUUCCGUUGGUUGAUGACGAGGAAUUAGGUUGACCGGAGGCGGAGCGCGGCGGGAUUCUUUUGGGAUCGUUCGAGUUGGGAUUUUGAAAAUUACCGGGCCGCGUAGGUUUCUGAGUCUGUUAAAUCGAGAAAUUUGAAAAAGGGAGCUUGUUUUGGUUAAAGACGGAAGAACACUCUUAUUUUUGUUCUGAUUUUUAUGCGCUAUCUAUUGCUUGCAUAUCUCCUCUCUUGUUCCGAUAAAAAGACCAUUGAUGCCUCCCUUUCAUGGAAAAUGAGUAAUUUAGAAAGCACUUUUCAAAAAAUUCGCUCACAAAAGUAAAUGAAUGGAAAUUUUUUUCAUCGUUCAUGAAAAUAGUUAGGAAUAGAUUGUUUUCGACAAAAAAAAAAGUUUCUGUUGACUAAUUUUUUGGGCUGAGGUUGAUCUGGAGAGUGUCUUACAUUCUUUCUAGGACUUUCGAGUCUUGUUUGAUUGCUUGAUGGAUUUAUUUUUUUGGUUGGGAUUGAAAUUGCAAAAAAGUCGUGUCCUUAUUUUACCUAUUCAAUUGGCUUUGCCUUUGCUCAUAGCGCUCCACACUAGGUUAGACGGACACUCUUCGGACCCUUCGUGUCGUGUCCAACACUCUAACACGUGUCCAACACGCUCCGACAAGCGGUCAACGCGUGUCGAAAAAUUCGACACGCGGUCAAUUGCCUUUGACACACUCCGACACGCGAGUCGGAAAUUCUGACAUGUGACUCCAACACGCACUGGGUUAUUUUUACAAAUUUUCAAAACUUUUGGGAUCUAAAUAUAAGUAUAUAAAAAUAAUAAUAAAUAAUAAAAGCUAAAACAAAUUUCCAAUACUCAUUUGAAGAUGUUGGGGUGCUUGAAGUUGCUCACUGGGCUUCAGAACCCAUAUGCUUUACACAGGGAAUUCGGCUGCGCUUUUUCACUUGAUGAGUCGGAGAUGAGUCUUUUAUUUUUUUUAAGAAGAAGUGGAUAAUGUGGAUGAAUGAAUUUUUGUUAUAUUUGAUGAUGGAAUAUUGAUUGUUUUUUUUUCUUAUUGUUAAAUUUUAAAUUUAAUAGUGGAACGUGGAUUACUUGUUUUUUCCUCCAAGUUUUAUGGAUUAUUAUAAUGAAAUAUAAUUGAAUUUGUCAAAUUAAAAUAAUGAAUGCUAUUAACAAAUGUAGGAUUAAUGUUUUUAUUAUAGAUUAAUUCUAGGCUAUUUUCAUUAUUAUUUAGUUAUUUAUACAUUUAUAUAUUAAAAUAUUUAUUUAAUAUAUAACGUGUCGAAAUUCUCUACUUUUGAGAAAUAACGUGUCGGCGUGUCAUAUCGUAUCGUGUCUAACGUGUCGAAAUUCUCUAUUUUUGAGAAAUAACAUGUCGGCGUGUCAUAUCGUAUCGUGUUGCGUGUCAUGUGUCCGUCUCGGUGCAACCUAGGCUCCACAUUUUGGUUUUGCAUUUGUGGCUCCUUCUUUUUUACCAAUUCCUAAUACUGAUUAAAAGUUGCAAUUAAAGUUCAAUUUUUUUACUAGAGACAAAAACAAAAUUCUGAUUUCACUUUGGUAGACAAUUUCCUCCUUGCCAAAAAAAAUUCAAGUGAAAUUUUUGUCGGGAUUUUAUACUCCUUAAAAUCAAGAGAUUGUGGAAUGAAGACUUCAACAUAGGUACACAAAAUGGGAGACUAGUGCAAACAAAACUCACUUUCAUCAUUGAUGAACUAGAUCCAACAUAAGAUACAAAAAAAGAAAGAAAAAGAAAGCACUAUUCUCGUUUGAAUUGAAUUGUGCUAGGACACUAUUAGCCCCUAGAAUGAACUUAACCGCAAGAAGAACAGCCGAUAAAAACAUCAGGAUCACUACAUGUUAUCUAACUACUAGCAUAAAAUUUGGCAAGACAUAACUAUUCUCGAUGAAAUCAACAAAGAAAAUGGAUGGCUACGACUAAAAAAUGAACCCUCAAAAUCUAUGGAAGAAUCUAGAGAGCUAGAUUGCAGGCCAUACACUGUGGAGGAAAAGAAUGAACUAUUUUUGUUUUCUAUUUUUAACUCUAAGGCACAAAAUAGCAUGGAGGUGGCUUCAAAGUACUACAACAACUUUCUUUGGAGAUACGAGAUAAGCAGCAUCAACUCUGAAACCACACCACCCUGCACAUUAAAAUCAAUUAAGGCAACGUUAAAUGUAGAUAGAGAGUUCACAAUUUCUCGGCCUCCCCACCAUGAACUCGACGUGCCCCUAAGCUCAUUCGACAAAAGGGUCCUUAGCCUCCCCCAUGAACUUGAUGCACUAGGCAUGAGCUUGCAGUGCGUCCUUGGAGGCUCUCGACUUGUCUGGCCUUGGCGAGAUGUGAACGACCCGCCCACCCAUCUAGUGCCGCAACUAGUGCAAGUGCCAUGGAGGCGUCCUCAGUGGUGGUGGCGGCGGCCUAGUGAGGACACGACGCCAUCAUCAUGAGCUACAUACUAUUUCUUGUCACGAGCAUGGAUAUGAACUCCGCUGAGUCAUGCUUUUUCUCUAUCUUUCGCCACUCAAAAAACAAUCACGGCUUUCUGUUGGUUUUUCUUUUUUUUUUUUUUUGGUUCUCCUUUUCUAAUGGGGACUGAGAGGAUAAUGGAGUCUCGUUGGAUUUUUGUAGAGUGAGACCCAACGAACACGAGCACCGGAGCAGAGAGUGAAGAAGUGACACCCAACGAGAGAGCAUCGGAUUAGAGAUCAAAGACAAGGGAACUUGAAAUUUUGAAUUCACGAGAGGAAGGAAGAGAGAAAGCAUCAAUCUUCCACCUUCGGAAGGAGAAAAAGGAGGAGAGAGAAAGGGAAAUAACUCUUCGCAAUAGGUUUAUGGCAGCAAUUAAUGUGCAAACUUAUUACUAGGGCAAAAAUUUUAAAUAAGAAAGAAAAAAUUCAUAUUUUCUAUGGUGGGGACCACUCACUAACGUUGAGCCACAUAGAGCUUCCUGAUUGGUUAGGAACGGUCAGACCUAAUAUUUUUUCUAUUUUCAUCUUCUCUUUGGUUUCCACAUCAAAAUCAAUCUUUUAUUUUAAUUAGGGUUAAUAUCCUGAAAAACCAAAAACCGAUACACUUAUGACAAAUUUAUCCAAACUAUAGCCUAAACUCGUAUACCUUUAAUAAAUUUACCACAAUCUAGUACACCUAUGACAAAUUUAUUCUCUAUUAAUUUUCGUUAAAUUUUAUUGUCAAAUUAUUAAGUUAAAUGACAUCUGACAAUUGACUGGUAUACCAAUUUGAGAUUUUACGCUAUGUUUGUUAUAAUUUACAAUUUUUGUAUUUUUUUUGUAAUAUUAAUCAAUUUUAGUGGAAGGUAUAUUUGUUAUAAAUUUAUCAGUUUAAUAUUUUUUUUGCGGUCGAACCACCGCUCGCGGUGGCACAGCUAGCUUCGGGCUUUUCUCCCCCUCAUGAAGAUGAGGAGUUUGAAUCCCAGAAGAGUCACAUUCGCGCGACUCACCCGCGGCUGGGUCUAUGGUGGUGACUCAGUUUCCCUCGGGUUAACACCGCCAGCCGGCUGUACAGUGGUUCUCGGGUCACCAAAAAUAUAUAUAUAUAUAUAUAUAUAUAUAUAUAUUUUGCGGUCAAAUAAAUUAGUUUGUGGUAAAUUUAUAUCAUUUUAGGAUUUUUUAUGGUUAAUCGGGAUAAAUUUAUCAUAAGUGUAUCAAUUUAAGAUUUUUCAUAAUCAAAAAUUUAAUUUUUGAUUAAAUUUAUCACAGGUAUGGGUUUGGGUUUUAUAAGGUAUUAACUUUUUGAUUAUAACAAUAAUUGAUUCUCGUUGGUCUCCUAUUUCAGUUGACUUCCCUCUGCACAUUGCUUGAAACAGCAAAACCCCAUCUCCCUCUCUCUCCCUCUCCGCUACGCAGGAGAAUCAAUCUGACCAUUCUCAUGGCGGACAACAAGCACGGCGAGGAGCAGCUCUGCACCCUCGAGAAGCGCGGCAACCUCUUCAUCCUCACCCUAACCGGCGCCGGCGAGCACCGCCUCAACCCCAACCUUCUCUCCUCCCUCCGGUCCGCCCUCUCCCGCCUCAAAUCCGACCCCUCCGCCUCCUCCUCCACCCUCAUUACCACCGCCCACGGCAAGUUCUUCUCCAACGGCUACGACCUCGACUGGGCCCAGUCCUCCAAGCCCCGCCUCCAGCUCAUGUCCUCCGCCCUCCGCUCCCUCGUCCGCGACCUCAUCUGCCUCCCGAUGCCCACCAUCGCCGCCGUCACCGGCCACGCCUCCGCCGCCGGCAUGAUGCUGGCCCUCAGCCACGACUACGUUGUCA